GAUGAACGCUGGCGGCGUGCCUAAUACAUGCAAGUCGAGCGAACGGAUGAGAAGCUUGCUUCUCUGAUGUUAGCGGCGGACGGGUGAGUAACACGUGGAUAACCUACCUAUAAGACUGGGAUAACUUCGGGAAACCGGAGCUAAUACCGGAUAAUAUUUUGAACCGCAUGGUUCAAAAGUGAAAGACGGUCUUGCUGUCACUUAUAGAUGGAUCCGCGCUGCAUUAGCUAGUUGGUAAGGUAACGGCUUAUCAAGGCAACGAGGCAUAGCCGACCUGAGAGGGUGAUAGGCCACACUGGAACUGAGACACGGUCCAGACUCCUACGGGAGGCAGCAGUAGGGAAUCUUCCGCAAUGGGCGAAAGCCUGACGGAGCAACGCCGCGUGAGUGAUGAAGGUCUUCGGAUCGUAAAACUCUGUUAUUAGGGAAGAACAUAUGUGUAAGUAACUGUGCAGAUCGUGACGGUACCUAAUCAGAAAGCCACGGCUAACUACGUG
This 497-nucleotide ribosomal RNA is filed under the name uncultured bacterium. Its description in RNAcentral is "partial 16S ribosomal RNA". It matches the Rfam family "Bacterial small subunit ribosomal RNA", at positions 28 to 507 of the family's 1533-position model. The record is from RNAcentral.